UCUUGAAUAAAAUAAAGAAUCGAAAUUCCUAAUCCACUCCUACCCUUGAUUUUCAUACCGAAUUAAGAUCACUGAGCUUGCUUUAAACCUAAACGCUUCUAAGUAUAGAACGCAAUAUCCCAAAGUUCGAAUUGGUUUAAAGAAUCGAAUUUCCUGAAAAAAAUAUUAAAGUGAAUGUUACAUGCACUGAAUGAGAAUUAAUGCUUUGAGUUUGGUGAAAAUAUGGAACAGUGCAGCAUGUGAAUGACUUGACGAUUUUCACGGCGAGGGACUUAGUAAAUAAAAUUUCCGAGAUCUGACGGAUAACUCGAGUAUCAUCUACACAAACUAACAAUAAAUUUGAAAACCCGAGCAAUUAAAUAUUCAGUGCGGUUAAAAAAAGCUCUCCGCCCACAUUGCCGAUCUUGCCCAAGUUCUACAGAUGGUAUUUUCGCGAUCGAUUACACAGGUCUGCAUUAAUUUGAAAAAACAAAACAAAAACAAAACAAAGUAAAACUUCAGCGAAAUUUGCGAUGAAAAGUUAGGAUCGUCCUUAUCUGUGACAAUUACAGGUAUAUUUAUAGGAAUUGAACCAAUCUUUUUUCCCUUAAGUAUUCUAUUGAAGCCUCUGAGCACGCCUAUGCGGCUAAAAAUAAGAUCCUAGAAAGGAAGUGAUUAAGUCGUCUUGACUGAGUUGUCGUGGGAGAUGAAAUGUCCGGGCGUGAACAUCUCCGGAGAAAUUAAGCAGUUCUUUUAAUUACAGACGUCUAUUCCAUGAAAUAAUAUAUUCUCUAUUUAGUAAUCAAAAUGCAAUUUGCUGCAGCAUAACUACUCUGAUAAAAUCUUUUUCUAAAACAAAGGCACUCCUACACAUCUCUGACAAGAUUUUGCGCUAAAUUAGAUUCCUCUUAUAUCAUUACAGAUAGAAUAUCUUUAAUUCUCUCUGUCCAAGCAGCACUUAAUGUGGAAAACUUACGGAAGAUUUUAUCUUAGUUAUCCGAUUUGCCGCCGAUGCGAUCAAGCUAUUCAAAGCAGUGAAUGCAUUCAGUUCGAAUUCUCUUGUAGCCCUGCGCUUUUGUUUUAGACUUCAAUAAACUUUUAAUAGCGGAUUUUAACGCGGAUUUAAUUGCAACCGUGCCUUAAUUUCAGCUGCUUUUGUAUUCUCUGCUUUUCAUAACAAAUACGUUUAGUUCUGAUUUUAAUGGACUCAUUCGGGAAUAUAGCACUCCCUCUGCCGGAAACAAGCUCAACGUUUACCGAUUCAACGCGCGAGAAGGAGUUUAGACCCGAAACUGUGCCACUUUUUUGAAACCCGGCAAGCUUAAGUGGAUUGAGUCAAGCGUGUAAUCUGUAAUUGUCUUAGGGGCGGAAAUAAUGGAAGAGGCAAAAUUAGUUUUGUGACGACACUGCAUGACGUAGAACUUGACAAAGUGAUUGAUAUCUCAGCUUACGUUAAUCCUGUUUGAAAGAUGUGCAUUAACGAUUUUAGUUGCAUUAAAGAAAAGCUCUUACUGUAAGUGGCUUUCGCUCAUAGCAUUAGAUAUAUUCGGCGCAAAUCAGUCCUGUUGGCGAAUAGAUAACAGAUAAAUUGGGACCUAUAUAUUGGAACCGCUGUGUGAAUUUCAAUAUUUAAGCACUCCUUUUCAAAGAACAAAGAGGUCAUGUCUCUCUACGAGCGCGCACGACACUAUCGUUCCCACUCCCUCAAACCUCUCAAUCAACCAAGUUUACUUACCCAGCGUUCCAAGCGCACACUCAGCCUGCCAAGCA
Long non-coding RNA from Pocillopora damicornis (cauliflower coral), 1749 nucleotides. Lineage: Eukaryota; Metazoa; Cnidaria; Anthozoa; Scleractinia; Pocilloporidae. The record is from RefSeq and is a predicted model, not a curated record.